RNAcentral lists this ribosomal RNA (253 nucleotides) under uncultured bacterium. RNAcentral's name for it is "partial 16S ribosomal RNA". It matches the Rfam family "Bacterial small subunit ribosomal RNA", at positions 524 to 776 of the family's 1533-position model. The record is from RNAcentral.
UACGUAGGGGGCAAGCGUUGUCCGGAAUCAUUGGGCGUAAAGAGCGUGUAGGCGGCCCGGUAAGUCCGCCGUGAAAGUCCAGGGCUCAACCCUGGAAUGCCGGUGGAAACUGCCGGGCUGGAGUCCGGAAGAGGCGAGUGGAAUUCCUGGUGUAGCGGUGAAAUGCGCAGAUAUCAGGAGGAACACCAAUGGCGAAGGCAGCUCGCUGGGACGGUACUGACGCUGAGACGCGAAAGCGUGGGGAGCAAACGGG